Molecule: ribosomal RNA, 1507 nt
Filed under: Dorea longicatena
Lineage: Bacteria; Bacillati; Bacillota; Clostridia; Lachnospirales; Lachnospiraceae
Description: partial 23S ribosomal RNA
Rfam family: Bacterial large subunit ribosomal RNA
Source: RNAcentral
UUGGUCAUGCUAGAAAGAGCGUAUGGUGGAUGCCUUGGCACUAAGAGCCGAUGAAAGACGUGAUAAGCUGCGAAAAGCUUCGGGGAGGAGCAAAUAUCCAUUGAUCCGGAGAUCUCUGAAUGGGGAAACCCACUUGAGCAAACCUCAAGUAUCCUAACGCCAAUACAUAACGUUAGGAGGGGAACCCGGUGAACUGAAACAUCUAAGUAGCCGGAGGAAGAGAAAACAACAUGUGAUUCUGUGAGUAGCGGCGAGCGAAAACGGAAGAGCCCAAACCGGGAUGCGUGCAUCCCGGGGUUCGGACCGCAUAAUUGAUUCAACAAAUUUAGCAGAACGGUUUUGGGAAAGCCGGCCAGAGAGGGUGAAAGCCCCGUAAGCGAAAGAUGAGUUGACAUGGCGGUAUCCAGAGUAGGUCGAGACACGUGGAACCUUGACUGAACAUGCGGGGACCACCCCGUAAGGCUAAAUACUCCUUAGUGACCGAUAGCGCAUAGUACUGUGAAGGAACGGUGAAAAGGACCCCGGGAGGGGAGUGAAACAGAACCUGAAACCAUAUGUUUACAAGCUGUGGAACCACUUUAUAUGUGGAACCGCGUACUUUUUGUAGAACGGUCCGGCGAGUUGCGCUGGCUGGCGAGGUUAAGCACCAAAGGUGUGGAGCCGAAGGGAAACCAAGUCUUAAUAGGGCGAAUGAGUCAGUCGGAGCAGACCCGAAACCGGGUGAUCUAUCCAUGUCCAGGUUGAAGUUGCCGUAAAAGGCAAUGGAGGACCGAACCCACAUCCGUUGAAAAGGGUGGGGAUGAGGUGUGGAUAGGGGAGAAAUUCCAAUCGAACCCGGAGAUAGCUGGUUCUCCUCGAAAUAGCUUUAGGGCUAGCCUCAUAUAAGUCUUGCGGAGGUAGAGCACUGAAUUUCCUAGGGGGCGUCAAAGCUUACCGAAGAAUAUCAAACUCCGAAUGCCGUGUAGAUGUUGUAUGGGAGUCAGACUGUACGAGAUAAGUUGGACAGUCAAAAGGGAAAGAGCCCAGACCUGCAGCUAAGGCCCCAAAAUGUGUGUUAAGUGGAAAAGGAUGUGGGAUUUCAAAGACAACUAGGAUGUUGGCUUAGAAGCAGCCAUACAUUCAAAGAGUGCGUAAUAGCUCACUAGUCGAGAGGUCCUGCGCCGAAAAUGUCCGGGGCUGAAACACACUGCCGAAGCUCAGGAAUUAACUGAUGUUAAUUGGUAGAGGAGCAUUGUAUACGGGACGAAGCAGUACCGAUAAGGAGCUGUGGACUGUAUAGAAGAGAGAAUGCCGGAAUGAGUAGCGAGAGGAAGGUGAGAAUCCUUCCGGCCGAAUAUCUAAGGUUUCCAGAGUAAAGCUGAUCUGCUCUGGGUAAGUCGGGGCCUAAGGCCAGGUCGAAAGACGUAACCGAUGGACAACAGGUUGAAAUUCCUGUACCUUAAGUAAACAGAACUGUGGGGACACGUGUGGAGAGCACAAGCCGGAAAUGGAAAAGCCGGUGCAAGCG